GGAGAGGUGCCAGAGUGGUUGAACGGGGCGGUCUCGAAAACCGUUAUACUGGGUAACCGGUAUCGAGGGUUCGAAUCCCUCCCUCUCCG
Molecule: transfer RNA, 89 nt
Filed under: Ignavibacteriales bacterium
Lineage: Bacteria; Pseudomonadati; Ignavibacteriota; Ignavibacteria; Ignavibacteriales
Description: tRNA-Ser
Rfam family: tRNA
About the family: Transfer RNA (tRNA) molecules are approximately 80 nucleotides in length. Their secondary structure includes four short double-helical elements and three loops (D, anti-codon, and T loops).
Source: RNAcentral